UAUUGGACAAUGGGCGCAAGCCUGAUGCAGCCAUGCCGCGUGAGUGAUGAAGGCCUUAGCGUUGUAAAGCUCUUUUAGCGGAGACGAUAAUGACGGUAUCCGCAGAAAAAGCCCCGGCCAACUUCGUGCCAGCAGCCGCGGUAAUACGAAGGGGGCUAGCGUUGCUCGGAAUCACUGGGCGUAAAGCGCACGUAGGUGGGUCGUUAAGUCGGGGGUGAAAUCCCGGAGCUCAACUCCGGAACUGCCUUCGAUACUGGCGACCUUCGAGUCCGGGAGAGGUGAGUGGAACUGCGAGUGUAGAGGUGAAAUUCGUAGAUAUUCGCAAGAACACCAGUGGCGAAGGCGGCUCACGGCCCGGUACGACACUGAGGUGCGAAG
This 378-nucleotide ribosomal RNA is filed under the name uncultured bacterium. RNAcentral's name for it is "bacterial SSU rRNA". It matches the Rfam family "Bacterial small subunit ribosomal RNA", at positions 362 to 758 of the family's 1533-position model. The record is from RNAcentral.